This 468-nucleotide ribosomal RNA is filed under the name uncultured bacterium. Its description in RNAcentral is "partial 16S ribosomal RNA". It matches the Rfam family "Bacterial small subunit ribosomal RNA", at positions 28 to 507 of the family's 1533-position model. The record is from RNAcentral.
GACGAACGCUGGCGGCGUGCUUAACACAUGCAAGUCGAACGGAAAGGCCCUGCUCUUGCUGCUUGCUCGUUUGGCGAACGGGUGAGUAACACGCGAGUAACCCCUCCUUGACAUUGGGAUAACUUCAGGAAACUCGGGCUAAUACCGGAUAGGAGCUCCUGCUCCACGGUGUGGGUUGGAAAGUUUCGGCUGUUGGGGCUGGAUUCGCGGCUUACCCGCUAGUUGGGCGGGUAGUGGCUUUCCAAGGUUUUGACGGGUAGCCGGCCUGAGAGGGUGACCGGGCACAAUAGGACUGAGAUAGGGACCAGAAGCGUACGGGAGGCAGAAGUGGGGAAUAUUGCAGAACAGGGGCGAGCCUGAGGCGACAGCGUCGCGUGCGGGAUGACGGCCUUCGAGUGGAAAACCACUUUGGCAUGUGACAAGGCGUGAGUGACGGUAAUUGGUAAGGAAGCCCCGGCUAACUACGUG